UAUAUAUAGAUUGAUACCGAAGCGGCCGUUACGAAAAUAACGCCGUCAUUGUCGCGCGAUAGUGGAUAAUAAUAACACUAACAACAGUCACAUUAUUCGCGGGCGGUGAAAUAAUGUCGGUCGCAAAUGAUAAGACGAUUUUUUUUUCCUGCAAAUUUUUGAUUAUUUUUACUCGAAAAUCGUAAUUCCGCGGACGGAUAGUAUUAUGGAUGAUGACCGUUUACGGCGGUCGACCGGACCACGACGAGUGUGUGCGGUGAACGCGACGCGGCGCGCGUGCUACACGGUUAAGGCGGACG
Molecule: non-coding RNA, 299 nt
Organism: Cinara cedri
Lineage: Eukaryota; Metazoa; Arthropoda; Insecta; Hemiptera; Aphididae
Source: the annotation of a GenBank genome assembly